Long non-coding RNA from Bubalus bubalis (water buffalo), 17767 nucleotides. RefSeq lists it as uncharacterized. The transcript is spliced from 10 exons. Lineage: Eukaryota; Metazoa; Chordata; Mammalia; Artiodactyla; Bovidae. The record is from RefSeq and is a predicted model, not a curated record.
CAGCCAUCAAAAGCCUCCUGGAGAAAGCCUGAAGUCAAGAGAGGCGACGCUGGUCUCCGCGCCCUCCCUGCUCCAUGGUACUUGGCGGAAUGGUAGACUGGUAGAUGUGUACUUAAUCUGUUAAUGCUUGCGACGCCGUCUCCUCCUCACUGUCAAAUGCAGCCUCCAAGGGCUUCCCUAGGACAACGCUCACCUCUCGGGAGCGAUCCCGUUUCCACCAUGGCACACCCCUCGCCCAUGGUCCUUGAAGUAACCGUGGCCGGCACGGAGAAUGUUCACGCAGGGCUGUGCCACCUUCUGCGUCCCAUCAGUCUCAAGGCUAUGCUCCACUGACUUCAGGACCACGUGCCCAUGUAGAGGCGGAUACGGCGCCCACAAGACGAUGCCACACCAGGUACUUGAAGAGACACACUGACUCUUGUUUUUCAUUGACGAUGCGUGUACAGUCUAUCUUUUUUCCAUAUCAAGCUUAGUCUUCUCGGGGAAGACACCUCGGCUCUGGAUUCAACACUGAGCCCCCACGAAGAUCUGAUUGGCCUCAAGUGCUUUCAGACGAUGUGCGGUCCACAGGCCCAUUUCUUCCCCCAUCUCCCACCCAGCCUUGAGGAACUUGCCGAAGAUGCUGCCAGCCUGAGAGCCAAGUUGGAGCCCUGGUUCUGGCCCCUGCGCCGACCUCACGGUACCUGGAAAGGGUUCCACCACACUGCAUGUGUUUGAUUAACAGCGUAUGUAAUGUGGUCUGCUUCUUUUCAGUAUCGCGUUCAGCCUCAAAGGUCUCCAGGGAGGUCAUGUCCACCUCCGAGACGAGGUAUCGGUUCUGGCUCCAGGACUGCUUUGAGAUACUUAGAAGAAGUUGACCAUGUUUCAUACGUCUUACUUACAAAGCAUGUGACUCAGUCAGCCUUUUCGUAACAGCCACUGCACUUGGGGGGCUUCCUGUAGGCAGUGCUGAGUAUCAGGCAUAGCGCUCGUCCCGGCGUCAUCUCCACUGUGGGUCCUUGAGGGGUUUCUCUGUGCCGCGUCCACUGCGCCUCUAGCAGACAUUGCAUAGGGGCCUCUUCUCAAUACUGCAUCUGGCCUCUGAGGGCUUCCAGAAGGUGAUGCUAAGGAGAGGAAAGAGACGCCGGUUCUUACAUCAGCCCUUCCCACGGUACCUGAAAAGAUGGUUGACCAUAGAACAUGCGCUGUCUCUAUGUCGUAUGUAAUGUGGUCCACGUCUUCUCAAUAUCAAAUUCAGUCGCAGAGGGCUUCCCCAAGGCAAAGCCAACUUCGUGGGAGACGCGCUGGUCUGGCUUCAGCACCGUUUCGCUGUAUGUGGAGAGAUGGUCGACCAUAAAACGUACGUGUGCUUUAUGACGUAUGUCACAUGGUCCACUAAUUCUCAGCAUCAGUCAGCCUGAGGGGACUUCCUGGAGGCUACGCCAGCUCGGAAGUAGGUGGUAGGCACCAUCCAGCACAGAUCACGGGCUUUAUUCCCCUGGCCAACACUCAGCACUCAGUCCCAGCCUUACCGGGCAUCCUGGAGGUGGUAGUGGCUUUGGGCGUGGGUGUGUGUGGUCACGGCCACCCUUGCUAAUGGCUGGUAACUCAUGAUGUAGAUUGCCAGGGCUUCCGGGAGGUGGUGGUCCCAGAUGAAGGGAGGCGAGGCGAGGUCGGCUUCCUGGUAUUUGAAGACGCGGUUGACCAUGGUGUGUACGCUUUAUUUAUGACGUAGGACACAUGGUCUACUUCUUCUCGAUAUCACAUCUUCGCCUUGGAAGACCUUCCAGGAGGUGAUCUCAGCUUUGAGGAGGAGCCACUGCCCGGUGUCAGCACUGCCGCUGCUUGGUACUUGGAGAGAGGUGGUCCGUGGCGCGUUCGCUUUAUUUAUGGCGCACAUUACACGGUCGACCUCUUUGCAGUAUCUAAUCCCGCCUUGCAAGCUUUCCUGGAGCUAACCUCUACAGCGGGGUGGGCACACUCAUUCUGCGCUCUUUGCCACUCGGCGGGGUUUGUUUGUGAUGCAUUUGUCUUGUGUGUGCUGAUGACUGUCGCGCGGCAGCCUUCUUCUCAGCAGACUUCGCUGGCUUGGCGGCUUCGCGGGCAGGGCUAACUUGCGGACAAGGAGAAUGGCUUCACCACGUGCCUGGGUACAUGAGAUGGUUGACCAGAGAGCACACGCUUUAUUUGUGCCGUUUGUGACCUGGUCCACUAACCCUCAGUAUCUAAUCCCCUCUUGGAGAACUUCCGGAAGAAGUGUCCACUCUGGGGGAAGGAGACUUUACGGGAUCAGCUGGGCCUCCGCUAGACUCGGAAGAGAACACCGUCAAGGCGUCUGCCACCCGCGUGCCAGAUACUGCAGACCUGGACUCGUUUUCAGUAGGGGAUCUUGGCUUGGAGGGCUUCCCGGCUGUGAGGCCAUCCAAACUCAGGGGAAGGGGCAUGCUGUCUGCGCCACCCCAAAGUACUGGAGUGACCAGCUGACCAGGGUGUAUGGACUUUAUUGAUGACCCAGGUCAUACACCUCAGUAUCCAGGGAAUCCUUGGGGGGAAAUUUGGAGGGGGGAACCCACCUUGGCUUGGGGGCAUAUGUGUCUCUAUGGUAACUGAGAAAAGUUUGCCCCGGGGGUGAACCAAACAUGUGACAGCUGUCCCGAGCAGCAUCCCUGUGGUCUCACCAGCCUCUGGCCACAAUGCCAGUUUCAGGAUGUUGAGGCUGCCACCAGGUCUGCUCCACUGGGGUACUUGGAUGGACAGCAUGCGCUCAACCAGUGGCUUAAACCAGCACGCCAGCCGCCACAGAGUCCAGUUCCGUACUCACAGGACGCCCAGGAUUGAAGGUCAAGUCUGGGGAAGAAUCACUGGUGUUCUGUAUCAAAUCCCAUCUUGAAGGCCUUCCGGUCCAGACCUCAGCUUCCGGGAAAGAUGUUUACUGUCGGCUCCCACCCAGUGGACAGAAAUAAGUGGUUGACUACAAAGCCUGUGCCUUGAGUACUUCCCAAAGGAAUGCCCAUGUAGAGGAAGACAGUGGUCCCCAAGAUAGCUCCAUGCCUGGAACACACAGGGGGCAGUGCUGCUGUCGAGGAGGAAGCUGUGUGUCUGGAGGUGGCUCUUUUCUGCGGUCCUCAAGGAGAGGUUUCCUUCAGUAUACUCCAUCUUUUAUGACAAAUUAUUCACACCAAAGGGCUUCCCCAGUGGCUCAACUGAUAAUGAACCCGCCUUCCAAUGCAGGAGAUAGAAGAGAUACAAGUUCAAUCCCCGAGUCAAGAAGAUCCCCUGGAGAUGGAAGUGGCAACCUGCUCCAGUAGUCUUACCUGGAGAAUUCCAUGGACAGAGGAGCCUGGCAGGCUGCAGCCCAUGGGGUCGCAAAGACUUGGACAUGACUGAGCAUGCACACGUCAGGGGGCAUCCACACCAACCUCUCUUCAGUAUCAAAUACCAGCUUGGAAGAUUCCCUGAACGAGACAGAAGUUGUCAGCUCAAGUCCAGGUAGGACUCCAUGGAGGUGACGCCAAGCUUUGGGGAAGAAAGUGGUUCUUGGUCAGCUCUAAAGCCGGGACACAGAGAACCACGGCUUACCUGGAAGAUUACCUGGACCCGUAGCCGAUUCCUUGCAGGGCCUGGGUGUCUAUUCACUGCAGACCACAUCUCCGGCCUCUUGACCACAAAAUGUAGGAUUUAUUUAUGAAUUUGCUCCUGAUACGUUGACCUUGGGAUGCAAACCAUUGCUGGGACACUUCCUGAGGCCUGAUAUAUCAAUACUUCCAGAAGGAGGUUACAGUUUCCCCAUCAAGGAAAGCUCCAAUUCCUGGAAAGCAGUUGUAACUAAAUGUUCUCUGUACUGGUGGAAAAUAUUUCACAAGUGACCUCUAUGCAGUGUUAAGUCUUAAAGGGUUUCUUGGCUGACCUCUGGAAGCAACCCCAAGACACUUGAUUCAGACUCUUCGCUUGUAUACGACACAUGUCAACGGGUCCAUCCGGGGCCACACAGACUCUGGAAAACUUCUCCAGCAUCAGUGGAAGGCUGCACGAUGUUUUGUUUUUUUUGGUGUGUGUUUUUGACCAGGGCUAAUCUUGGAUACUUGAAGGAGAGGUUAUCCGUGUUGUCUUCUCUUUAUUUAUGAUGAAACAUACACGGGAAACCUCUUUUUUAGUAUCAAAUCCCACCCUGGAGGCACGUCCUGUUCCCGAUGCAGCCUUCAGGGAAGGGACGUGGCCAGCUGCACUCUGAGUAGCCAGGGGGAAGGCGGACUGUCGGGUGUCGCAGGGACAGCUGCGUGGAAGGGAAGCCACGUUUGGAGAAGGGCCCAGCUUGCUGUGUUGGAGGGAGGCUGCGCCUUGCGGGUCUCGUCUGUUUAAUGACUCACGGUGGGUGGUGGCGCCUCAGGGUGGGAUCCAGCCAGGAUGGCUCUCUGGACACACCAGCCGCUCUCCAGGGUAGCUGAGGGGAUGGUAGGCCGGUGACGUGCACUUCAUUUACGAUGUAGGUCACCCGUUUGACUAUCCACCAGCACCCAGUCCAUCUGUGGGAUGACAUCUUGAUGCACAUGGCGACUUUGGAAAAGAUGUAGGGGGAUGGGGGACCGGUGUGAGUCUGCUGUAUGGGAAGAGGGGUCGCCCUCUCAGGGGCUCCCUCUCCCACCUUUUAAAAAACAAGUAGAAGCGAUCGUCAGUCAACCGUCUCUUCCCAGGGAAACCUCUCCCAGGCGAUGGCUAAGCUGCACUGCAGGUGUUAGGGAGGAGGCCCAGCCCGCAGCACAGGUUGAAGACAGGACUUGUGUGUUACCUGCUUCAGGGUCCAGUCUGUUCAGAGAGUGUGUGUGUGUGUGUGUGUGUGUGUGUCUAUGGCCAAUAGUGCCAAUGUGGGGAGCACCUUCUUUUGUGACGUCAGCUCUCUUCUGCGGGGUGUGAAAACAGGCUGUUUGAUGAGGCUGUCGUGUAUGAGAUGAAUAUCACAUGGUCCAUCUCUUUUCAGUAGUAAAGCCACCCUGGAGGAUUUCCUGGAUGUGACGCCUGAUUCCAGGCAGCACCACUGGUAUCUGUACCGCUGCCAGUGAGCGAGUGGCUGGGGCACCGGCCUCGGUGUGUGCUCACAGCAGGUUUCAGUGUGCCCCUCCUGCAUCGUUAUCACCUAUGGAACCCAGCCUCUCCUUGAGUGUGUUUCAAAUCCACGUUCAUUACCUGGGGAGGGGGCUUUGCUGUUGUCACUCAUCUCUGUGUCUGUUGUUCUGCAUUUUUUUGGCCUAGGAGGACUCAUCCAGGCUGGACACUGAUCAGUGUCAGAUGCUGCUUCAGAUGCAUUCUGGACACGACACGUAUGGCAGAGAACACGCCUUGGAGCUCACCAUCUGUGAAGGGAACACCAUUGGCAUGGGCCCCUCUCCAAGAGACCUGAAGGACGGUUGGACCCCAGAACAUCUCCCCUGCCUCCUUCGCCCGCAGGAUCCCCGCUCCCUGGGAGGACUUCCUGGAAGUGAUGCUGACUUUGGAAAAGACAUCAUUUCUUCAUCCCUAUGGUCCAGUGGCCCUCUGUGAUGGAUUUUCUGUAUUUGUCACAAGUCAUCCUGAACAGACUGUCUUGUAGAACUAGACCAUCUCUCAAAGGAACCAGGAGUGUCUGUAAGAAGGGGAUGCUGGAAUCAGGAGCUUGCCAGACACCCUAGGGGUGGUCCACGGACAGCAGAUGCUCCUUCGGCGGCUUGUCCCACCUAAUUUGAGGUCCUUGGCUUCGCAUUUCUCAAGAGGAUGCCUUGCAGAACCGCUGACUCACGGAGGAGAUUUUAUUUCAGAGUCCCAGACCACCCCAUUUCCUCUGAAAUGAUGCUCCGCAUGACCAUUUGCAGACUUCAUCGCAAACAUACGGAACCCGGCUGUACUGAUUAUUGGAUUCUGCCCGUGAGCUCUCCCUGGAAUCAUGAGUGAGAGAGAGGCUGGGGUUGAUUGACUUCAUCUGUGACAGCCAUGUGACCCACCUCCGCCCCGUGUCAGCCUCACCCGUGAGGGCUGCCCCGACGCUGCAGACACGGAGCGCCGUCCGCCUCCUCCCAGGCGGACCGUGGGCUGUGAGCAUGUCCGUGCCCAUCGGGGCUGACCACUGGUGCCUGGAAAGAAGUCGCCCAUGUUCUUUUCGCUGAUAUGUGACGAAACAAACAUGGUGCACUUCUUUUCCGGCAUCAAAUCUCAGCUGGAGGAGCCCUGGCCCCCACGGCGCUUCACGGAAGGGGCUCCGGCGUCCCUGCUGUCUGGGUAUGUAUGUGGAGGCUGGCCCUUCAUCUCAGCUCGAGGAGCCCCUGGCCCCCAGGGCACGUUACGGGAGGGGCUCUGGUGCCCCUGCCUCUCUGGGUAUGUACGUGGAGGCUGGCCCCUCAUCCACUGACCAUCCUUGGUUUGAUCACAGGUCAUGCUUGCCUCUAAGAACGGGCAUGACUGUGAGAGCCCUCGGUCAGGUUCCCAUUUCCCGCUGCAAGAGAGGCUGGGUAAACAUGUCCAGGUGAAGAAUUUCACCCAGCAUUUGAGGGGGAGGUUCAGAUGAGAAGCGGCCCCCUUCCCAAAAUAAUACAGCUAAAUAGUGGCAGUGGCAACAACAAAAACUCAGAGCCGAUGCAAACGAUCCACCAGCCCUCUCCGGAGGUGGAGGUGCAUGGUGCCCAGGUGCGUGGAUGUUAGCUGUGAUCGUCCCCUGGGGGACCGUCCCCCACACCUCCCUAGGAGGGCUGAUCAGGGACACCUGAUGUUGUGGAGGGUGGCGGUCCCUGGGGUUCUGGAAGAGGGGUUUUCCCAGGACGGCCAUUUCACUGGGACUAAUUCUGCUCAGCCCCUCUUUCUAGGUUCCAGUCCUGCCCUGGAGGGACAUGUUCCCAGAUGCCGUUGGCAGAGCAGGAACAUUGGUGUCGGCCCCCUGGUCGGGACCAACGAGUGGACGUGCCUCCUAAAAGUUGAUGCUGUCCCGUCUUUCGGUCUCUGGCUCCAUGCACCUGCCACCAUCUUCCCGCAGGAGGCACCACGGGGCUCUGUGGACCCUUUUAUUCUGUGGUCCUUGAAGAGAGGUAUUCCCAGGUGAAUUCGUUUUAGUUAUGACGAAUCGGUCUUGGCCAACCUCUUUGCAGUAUCAAAUCCGACGUGGAAGAAGGGCCAUCGGAGCUGGGACUCUUGGCGUUGGCAGUUCCGGAGGGAGGAGUUUCUGGAGCCCUGCCAACUGGGACCAGAGGCCGCAGGGUUGGUUCCUCUCAAUGCUCUGUUUGGUACUAGAAAAGAGGUUGUCUGUGUUUCUUAGCUUUGUUUAUGAUGAAAAAUAUGGGUACACUUCUAUUUGAAUAUCAUACCCCAUCAUGGAAGCCCAGCUCCAGCUUCCGGGAAGAGACGUUAGUGAUGAACCCCAUUAGUGGCACUUGGGUGAUGCUGGGCUCAGUGGCUGCCUGCGGAACGGUUGACUCCUGCCCCACCCAUCCUUGGGGGCCUGUCCUCCUGUCAGAGGCUGUCAUGGGGACAGAAACAACUUUGGAGAAGAAGCAGCUGUUCCCAGAGGUCCAUCAAGAAAGGCUGUCCAAGAUGUGGCUCACAGAGCCUGCCUGAUUGACCAAGUCAAGGGCCACCCUCUUGGAUGAUGGGAAGGCUCAGAUGCAGGAACACCUGCCAGGCUUUCUGAACCAAGAUAGAGGGCAGCUGGCCCCAGAGCCCCAGAGUCUCCGCAGCCCUGAGGACCUCCUAGAGGGGGGAUUCUGGUUCUGAGCCACCCAUGGGAUGUGAAGUCGCCCAAUGAUGCCUCUGUCCUAUGCCCAAGGAAACAGGAAAGGUACAGCCUUCAGAACUGAGCCUCCUUCCCACCUGGGAGGCCGUCCACAUCCUGCAGCUGAUGUCAGGGAGGGCCACUUAUACCUGCAUACCAGGUAGGUCAAAGGAUGGCUUGGAGGGAGUGUGAGGUCUUUGAUGGCAUCUGUUCUUUGCGUGUGAGUGCUCACCAUCCAUUUCUUUUGCAGGAGGAUGUCCAGCAGACAGAAGAGGAACAUUUCACAGAAGCUGGUCUGAGAUGUUCGAAAGGAGGUUGUCCGUGAUGUAUUUGCUUUAUUUGUGGCAGAUAUUGCACGGUUGAUCUCUUUUCUUCAUCAAAUGCCUUCUUGAAGGAUUCGCUGCACGUGGGGGGUCAAAUUCUGGCAUGGGGAGUGGGGAGGUGUUAGCCCCACUCUGAGGGCAUGGGAACAGAUGGUUGACCAGAUGGCUAGUGUUCUCCUCUGUUUUUCUUCAUUUCUUCUUUUGCAAAUUAAGAAUGUAUUAAAUGAUAUCCUAUCAUCCUGUUUUUUACAGUAAAUCUGUCAAUGUGAAAAAUUAGGCUGUGUAACACCAAUUUCUUUUAAACAGUUGACAAAUAAAUGUGAACAAAAAGUUGUUUAGCACAUUUUUUUUUUUUGGAGUUUUAGAAGAAUCCUGAACCAAAACCUCCAGUGUUUUGGUUUCCAAAGCUUAACCUCUGAAAGAACAGAUUAGCCACCAGAAAUACACUGAACAAAUUAUAAUGAUAAAGAUGAGAUGAUCAUGGGAAUUGUUAUGACUGUGUGGCAGGUGUACUGAUGUUUUAGUAUAAAACUUAUUUUUCAGAUUGUUUUAUUUUAAUAAUAACUUUUUUUAAGACAAAAUACCAGUCUUCUUGGGAAAGUUACAAUUUUAAAGUUCUUAACAGAAAGAGACUACAAAGUCUUUACACACUCCUCAAAGGCCCCUGUGCUGCAUCUCAUCUAAUUGUCUCUGACUUAUCUUUUUGUAGUUUUGCUGGGGAGCAGAGUGCUGUUUUUAAUACGUACUUUUAUCCUAAACUUGGAGAAGAGUUCCUCAAGACUUGUAGGCAGGUGGAUUAUUCAAGAAGAGUUCUCCAGGAAGACCAUUCCAGAGGGAAGUAGGGGUAACAGGAGAGGGAGGGGGUUAAGCCCAACAGUGAGCAGACACGGUUAUCAGCUCAUGGACCCCUGGUAGCCCACCUGGCAUGUUAUCCUCAGCAGGACACUCAGGGCAUGAUGCCUGCUUCUUGGAAGAGACAACAGGUGAGUUGACAUUGAUUCCCCAGGACCCCUGCAGAGGAGUUUCGUGGCUAGUCACUACAUCUGUUCCAAAUCUCAACUGGCUGCCUACAUUUCAAUUUUUUAAAAAAUACAGCCCAGCUGGGAAUUAUUCCUUAAACAGCAUGUCCUCCUCAUGCAUGACCAUGCUUGUAAGACCCACUCCUGGGUACUUGAGCGAUGUUGGUCACAAACUUAGACCCUCUGAUCCCCUAAACAUCCACAGCCCACUUAUUCUGGACAAGGCUUCAUGGAGGAAACACCAACCUGGAUGGCAUGGCACAGCUCCCGAUGGCCCGUGGAAAGCACUGGGCUGUGUACGUUUGCCUCAUUUAUGAUAAAUGAUGCUUGGGGACGUCAGGGGGUUCAGGGUUGCUUCCUCAGCAAGCCAAGGCUGUAGGGGAGGGGCUCUGGCUCUGUAGAUGAUGGGCGUGACCUGGUCCCCUCCCCUUGGGGUCCAUUCAUCUCUAGAAAGAGUGCCUGCCUCCGCCCUUGUGACAGGCCCUAGUUUUCCAGGUCAAGGUUUUUUUGAACCAAUUCCAACUUUAGCAAAGCAAUACUGGUAUCAGUGCCUCUCUGUGGAAUAUGAACGGAGGGUCAAGCACAGAAUACGUGCUUUGCUUCUGAAGAGCGCCUUUCGGCCCAUUUGUCUUCAAUGUGGAGCUGUGUUUAGGAGGGCUUCCCAGGCGGUGGCAGCUGUGCAGAACAGGGGCUGAGUCUGGGAUUAUUGCUGAUGUGAUGUUUGCUUCAGGUCGGGAAGACCCCCUGGAGAAGGAAAUGGCUACCCACUCCAGUAUCCUUGCCUGGGCAAUCCCAUGCACAGAGCAGCCUGGUGGGCUGCCGUCCAUGGGGUCACACAGAGUUGGACAUGACUGAGUGAGUAACACUUGUGCCUUCACUUUAGGAAGCACACUUUACCAGGAAUUGACAGCACCUAUUUUGGUAAGUCUCUGUAUCCCCCGGUCCACCUAAAAAGUGAUUUUUCUGGAAGUUGUAAAAUGUUUUGGUUGGGAGGGAGGGUGGCUGGUAAGCCUCUCAGUGGGGUUUGAAGUGACACUGUAUUUGUCUAAUGCAGCCCAACAGCCUAUCCUGUUGAUUUACCCAGUCCUGCCUUUUGGGACCUUCCAAAUACAAUCUCACUUUCUAGAAGGUUCUUUGAUGUCCUCAUCCCUCCAAGGUAUGAGAAAGGAUGCCUGACGACCUUGCACGCUUUCCCGCACUCUGUGUUGUAGGAUGCCUCAGGAGGGCCUCAGGGAAUUGACCUUGACUUUAGGAACGUUGCCUGGAGAAUCCCAUGGAGGGAGGAGCCUGGUAGGCUACAGUCCGUGGGGUUACAAAGAGUCGGACAUGACUGAGCGACUUCACUAUGAUAUUUUCAGGACUUACUGAAAGGAUAGUUAUUCCUACUGUAUUUGCUUUAUUUAUAGUGACUUUUUGAAGCCUGUUCACUUUUCCAGAAUGAGAUUCUGCUUUUCCAGACCUGAUUGGGGUGGAGAUACCAGGGUUUCCCUCAGCAGGGGGGCUGACAGCAAGGUAGACCCCAAGGGGCCAGGGUCUGAUGUCAUAGUUCCUUCCUGGAGUUUAGAAAGGACUUGAUGGCCUGCAGUUGCAUCUUUUCUAGCUGUAUCAUGUUCUGGCUUGUGCUUCCCACGGCUGCUCAAUGUUUGAUAUUCAAAAGGUGGAUAUUCCUUCUAUGUUUACAGGAUUGACAGCUAAACAUAGAGGAAAAUCCACAUUUUAAGUAUCUAAAGUUGCUUUUGAGACAUUUCUGCACACAAAAUCCGCCCCCUCAUUGAAGAGAGAGGAAGGUUAACUGUCGCCCCAAAACACAACCACACACACGUGCAUACACGUGCAUGCACACACACACACGGAGGGAGUACAUGUACUCCACCUCCUUCCCCCUUAGUGACGGGACAGGCGACCUUCCUGGCCGCCAGCUCCAGAGGCUCACGCCUAGUGGACUUGUCCUGUGUUAUCUCUAUUUCUGAUGGGUUGUGCUCAGGUUCACGCUUUCCGGGACUAAAUCCUUCUUUGGUAUUUAAAAGGUGGAUAUUCCUUCUAUGUUUAUGUUAUUUAUGGUUAAACAUAGAGGAAAUUCCACGUUUUCAGUAUCAAAUGCUGCUUGGAAACUUUCCUGGACUGAAAUCUCCAUCAGGGGAGCCAGGUGGGGCUAAGCCCCUCCAGGGUAAGUGGAAGUUGGUGGACCCCAGCACAUGUGAUCCGUUCCUGGCACAUGUCUGUGGACCACCUGCUUGUCUUGGGGAGACCCUCCCACCGAGUGGCCAACUCGGGGGGAGAGGCUGGGGUCCCGGUCUCUCCAGGGCAGCUCAGCAGUUUUUGCUAUGUGUCUUUCAUUUCAGAUGGAUCGUGCCUAGGGCGACGCUUCCCGGGAUCCAUCCUCUUUGGUAUUUAAAAGGUAGAUUUUCCUUCUAUGAUUACGGGUUUGGUGAUUAAUCAUAGAGGAAAAUCCACAUUUUCGGUAUCAAAUGCUGCUUUGGAGACGUGAUUGGGACUGGCAUGCGGGUGGGGGCAGGAGGCAGGGCUGAGCCCCCAACCUGGGUUAGUGGAAAGGUGGUGGGCUGCAGAACAUGUGCUUCCUUCGCGUCAUAUGUCUGCUGACCAUCACCUUUAGAAGCCCCCUCUCGCUGAGGAGCCCACCAGCCAAGGAGGCCAUGGCGUGUGGCCGCAGCUCUGCCACAGGACUGGACACAGCUUCCCUGACCGUCUUGCUUCCAUUUUCGGUAAAUUACGCACGCAAGUCUUUUCCAGAACUCCAUCUUUCUUUGGUAUUUAAAAGGUGGAUAUUCCUUCUAUGUUUACGUGAUUCAUAGAUAAUCAUAGAGGAAAAUCCAUGUUUUCAGUAUCAAAUGCUACUCUGGAAAUGUUUCUGGAAGAGACUGGAGGGCCAGGCCCCGAGGCCUGGGCAGGUGGAAGGUUGGUGGGUGGGUGGCAUGCCGUGUCUUAGUUAAGGACGAACGCCUGGGGUUCAUCCAUACUCGGGAACCAUCUCUGGCCGAGCAGCCCACUCGGUGAGAUGCACAUCGUGGGUUUCUUGUCCGUCCAUCCGUGAAAGCUUAUCCACCCGACGUGACUUUCAUGUUUGAUGACUGAAGCACAGAUUGGAGUUCUCCUGGACAGAAUCCUUCUUUGGUAUUUAAAAGGUAGAUUCUCCUUCUAUGAGUACAUUAUUUACGAUUAAUCAUAGAGGAAAAUCCACGUUUUCAGUAUCAAAUGCUGCUUGGAAACCUCGGAGGAUGCGACAUCGCCGUCAAAGAAGGAAGGGGGUGGUCAGGGGUCUCCUGUGCUCUGUGUGAGGUGUGCCAUUCAGCUGACUUGCCCUCCGUCUGGUCGUGCGGUCAUGAGACUGCUCUCGGGAUUACUUCGAGUCUGAAUGAAUUUUGUUCUCUGUGUGUUUGCCAUGUUUAUAUAGCAUUUUCCAGAGCCCCCUCUUCUGCAGGAAUCUUAGAGAUUACCUGGGGGUCAGCGUUAGGAGGGGGCCCUGGUGGAGGUACCACUUUCGGGAUGCGGGAUUCACCCACGGCCAGGAGCUCUGCCCACAGCCCCGUGUUGCCUGCCCACUAACCCUGCCUGUCCAAUCUGUCUGUCUUAGACUCACUCCUGGAGCAGAGGCCAGCUCUGCCACAAUGCAAAUGGCUUUCCUGCCAGUAGUGGUGUUUGCUGCUCAAAGAGAGAUUAUCCUUCUUGGGUUUGCAUUGAUUGUCAUGAACAUGCAUAGGGCAAUCUCUCUGAGAUGCAAGUGCCUGCCUGGGAGGGCUUCUUGGAGAAUCAGAGGUCAGGACCACCACAGGGUAGGCAAAUGCAUGCUGACCACGGUGUAUGCGCCUCUAUCUUGAUGUCUGUGACCUGGUUUCUCCUCUUAAUCCCCUGCAUCCUCCCAAGAACCUUCUGGAAGAGAUGAUGGCUUUGUAGAGGAUGCGGUGGUUUUCUGUUCAGUUUGGGAUGUGGUGUCUUCCUUGGUGGGAAGACUGCUUAGUGUGAUGCUGAAGCUGCCAUGAGCUGUCACUCUGUCCAGUGUCCCCAGCUACGAUGCCAGGCUCUGGAAGGAGACCUCAAGGUCAGUGUGUCUCCCAGUAUGAGGAAAGAAGGCUCAACAGCAAGUCAGGGUCUGGCUCAUUCUUGACUCAUCUGGUCUACCCCAUGGACUGUAUCCCACCAGGCCCCUCUGUCCAUGGAAUUCUCCAGGCAAGAAGAUUGGAGUGGGUUGCAUUCUCUUCUCCAGGGGAUCUUCCUGACCCAGCAAUUGAACCCAUGGCUCCUGUAUCUCCCACAUUGCAGGCAGAUUCUUUACUGUCUGAGCUACCAGGGAAGCCCCACCCAGUCUACAUACCCAGGCUAUUCUUGGGCUGACUUCUGGGCUUUAAUGUCCUUUUGAGGGAAGGGAGUGGGUGUGGCUGCUAGUCUAGAGGAAAGGAACCGGGUAGCCCUGAGCACCAUAUUUUAUGGAAUUUGCCCUGGGACCAUAAGCCCAGUGUUCUCUUAGUCCAUAGUCCUUCUCUUGGCCUCAUAAUUGUGAUGGGAGGAUCCUGGGAUGUCUGAUGUCAUUAUCUGUUUCAUUGGAGAGUUGGCCCCUGGGGAUUCCUCUGUCCUUUAGUGAAUCUUGCCGUAGAUGAGUGCUUUUGAGUGGCAGCUCGGGUGACUUUCUGGACACAGUGUCAGCUGCAGGUGGGAGGAUGCUGGCCUUAACGCUGCCGCACGAUUUGUGAGUGAGGAACAGGUCAUGGACUGUGUUGCUUUCUUCUUUUGCUUUUGCUCUUUAGUGAUGCAUGCGAUUGUGUCUUCUAACCCCUGGCAGCCCACCUGUCACCAGGGGAACUUCCUGGAGGGAAAGACUUCGGGUGGAAGGGCGGUUUUGCAGGCUCUCAAGGACUGUCAGUCAUCUGAUGCUCGCUGUCAAGUUCUACAGGACAGCGCUGGCUUUGGGAGGCAGUCCUGUCUUGGAAAGAUGCUGGGGAGCCCAGCCAUCCCAGGGCUGGGUCUCAGUGUGCAGGGGCGGGGUCACUACCGGCUCCUCCCCCUUGGUCUCGGGGCCUGCAGGAGGCGAGCCCCCUCUGGGGAGGCUGCGGCGUGGUCCUCAUUGGAGCUGCUCUUUGGUACUUGAAGAGAGGAUACCCUUUGUAUGUUCACUUUAUUAAUGGCGAAUAUACAGAGGGAGACUCUUAUUUGCGUAUCAAACUCUGACCGGGAAGGCACUUGGACCCAGCUCCACCUUCUGGAUGGAGACCCUGUUGUCGGCUCCUCGCAGGUAUGUCCUCGCUUCCCAGGCCCAGAUGUGGGCUCUGGCCAUGACGUCAGCCCCAGGUCCUCCUCUGGGGGACUCCCCAGAGGCCGCGCCAGGCUGGUGGGGGACAGCGGUGGCCUUUUGUGCAUGCUGUCUGUUGUCUGUAUUGAGUCUAACGGUGAUUUGCUCUUUUAAAGGCACGUGGACCUGCCCUUUGUCACUACCAAGUCCCACCCUGGAGGCUUCCCAGUACCAUGUCUAACUCAGAAGAGAGAACCUGAUGCAGACCCUUUUGAAGGAGACGCAUGAGUGAUGGUGGACCACAGGCUUUAUUUAUGAUGGUUCCAAGCAGGAUGGGCCAACACCUGCCAGUCCAUCCCAGAGGACUUCCUAGAGGUGGCGCUCACUCACGGGAAGAGGCUGAGGUUUGCUGGCCAAGGCUCCUCUUCGAUGUUCAGGACAGCACCCUCGUGCUCACGGUCCCCAAGAUGAAUCUGUAAGAACUCUUUCUGUUUGUGAUUCGUGGUUCCAGUCCUGCCUGGAGACAGUGUCCUCCACAGGAAGCACCCAGCUCUGGGGAGGAGCAUGGGAGCCAUCGCCCUGGGCCAGGAUGACAGCUAGAAGACGAGGGCUCUGGCUCUGUGUUUGUGGAGACGUUUCUUGGGCUGUGUAACCAUCCACUUGGUGGACAGCCUGACCACCGUGGGGGUCCCCAGACCCUGAGGCCAGCAUCGGGGAAGACGUAUUGCUGUGGCCCCAUCGAGGAGCAGGUGUCGUCUGCGAGAGGUGGGUGCCUUCCCCUGGGGGAGGAGCUGGGUUUCCUGCUCGCCCGUGGCCUUCUGUUUCUACCCCUUCUGAAGGGCCUCCUUGGCAUUGAGGCUGCCGUGGGGAGCUGGUCGUGCUCUGCUGAAUCCAUGUUUCUGUGGUACGUGGAGUUAGACUCCUUUUCAAUGUCGACUCUCCUAGCAUGGCUUCCCAGUGUGAUGCCAACCUCCAGUAGGGCAUGGGGAGUGUGGGGAGGAGGCCCCUGUGGGAGGUAUGAUGGUGACCACGGGGCCUUGACUUCAUCCGUGAUGUAAAUUCACCCAAUCCCCUCACCCUGGGUGCGUAGUCAGGAGGACUUCCUGGAGGAGGUGUCCAUUCUGGUUCCACCUCCAGCGUCAUUCUGCAGAAAGCAAGAAGCUAGCUGAGCUCUGGGCAUGCUCUGGAAGGCCGUGGGGUUGAUCUUUUCAGGAGUAAGCCCUGAUUUGGAGUGAUUCCUGAAAAUGAUAUUGAUGUCAGUGAAGGGGCACUGGCUUCUGUCCGUCCCCAAGCUGGGAUGGAGAGCAGUCCAGCAGGCACACACCUGGCAGGCGGUGUCUGCCCCCUGGUCUGCCGAUUCUGCAUCCCCCACCCCCUCCCUAGGCUGUUUCCCGGGAGACGAGGCCAGCUCUGUGAACAGUAGCGAUGGACCUGCCCAAUGCUACUACCGUUUGGUACUUAGAGCGAGGUUGCCCUUUGUAUAUUCAGUUUUUUGAUGUAGAAUAUACAAGGGCAAGCUCUCUGUGAGUAUCAAACCUUGGACCCAGUCCACAUGCAGCAAGGGAUUCGGUAUGUGUGCAUGACCGUGUGUCCAGUGGUGUGUGGCAAAUGGCUUCAGGGUCACCAGUUGGCAGAGGUGACAUCUCAGGCACACGGCUGCCUUUAGAGAAGUUGAUGGGCCCUGGGGAGUGACACCUCCCGGUUCUGCCUGGGGUGGGGGCGGGGGCGGUCAGGAGGCAUGCACUGCGUGUGUACGACCCGGGUCCUGAGACGGCCAGGUCGGGCCCGGUGUGGGUGGUGGCUGCAUCGUCACUGCACGUGUAUGCUGGGUGCCUGUGAACUGAUGCACUAACCCUCAGCGUCUAAUUUGUCCCCAGGACUGUGCCUUGAAGACGCUCCACGUCCUCCCAAGGCAGUGGCUUUCUUUCCCGUGCUAACCUUUGGUACUUGGAGAGUGGUUAUCCCUGUCCUGUUCGUUUUACUCAUGUCGAAUCGUACAGGGUCAUCCACUUUUUCAGUAUCAAGAGCGCAGACCGUAGAGUUCGAUUUCCUGUGUUUGGAUCCCGCCUCUGACACUUACUAACCGGGCAACCUUGGGCAAGGAUAUUUCAUCGUGCCGUGCCUGCUGUCUCGUGUGGAAGGGGGGCCGGAGGGCUGUGGGGGGCUGGGUGCGUGCAGACUUGUACAUGGAUUAGAGCAGAGUCACAGUCGGGGCACUGUGUGCUAGGAAAUGCUUGGUAAUGGUGAUGCAAUUAUCGAAAUUUCUCCUUGGCAUUUUGGAGUGGUGUUGAGAUGUGGACAGCAGAUCACCCUCAGGUAUGUGAGUGGAUGCUUGAGCCCACUGUGUUCAGUGGGGUGGCCGAGGCUUUGGAAAUGCAGUCACUAAGCCCUUCUCCUGACGGCAUUUGGAAAAGCAGGGUACAGUGGGGCCCUCGGCCGUGACCAUGGGCCACCUGGAACCUUGGCCCGAGGGAAGGUGGACAGUCCUUGGCUAUCUGCCUGAGCCACCCUCCGCAGAACACUAGGGCGUGGUCACCAAGCAGAGGGAGCAGCGGUUCAGUUCCGCCUCCCCGGUACCUGGAGACACAUGGUCCUUGAUGCAUGCGUGCACGCGCGUGUGUGUGUGUGGUGUGUGCACGCACAUAUGUGUGUGUGUGUGUGUGCUCGGGUUUGCUGAGCUGCAGUCACUGUCCAUUCUUGAACUGAAGACCUGGAGGUGCCAGUGUUCCUGUCCACGUCGCUAUUUCAUACUUGAGGAGAAAUUAUCCUUGGUGUGUUUGCUUUAUUUGGGAUGAAUCAUACAAGGACAAUUUCUUUCUGAGUAUCAAAUCCUGCCUCAGCGGACUUGCUGAACCCCAUGACGAAUUCCAUAGAGAUGCGUGUGUCAACCCUUUGGGGGGCUCCUGCCUGGCUGGGGGCUGAGAGCUUGCAGGGACUCAUGCUGGGGGACCACUGCUCGAACCUUCAGGAACCUAGCGGCGGGGCCAAGAUUGGCCACGGGCCACCAAGCUCCCUGGUACUGUCUCGACGUGCUUUCGUCAUGGGUGUGUGUCAUGAGUGACCCAGCAUUCAAGGCUCAUCAGAUCCUGCUUCUUGAAGGCUCUGCUUGGACACAAAACCAACUUUAGGAUCAAGUCAUUGCUGUCGGCUCCCCUGUCCCCUGCCUGAGGACGUGAGCAAUUGCCGAGCAUGUGGCCGACUCUGUGUGAAACUGACCCACUAACCCUCAUUGUUUGGACCACCCAAGAAGAACCUUCUGGAAAGGACAAUGACCUUGGAGACGACGCCAAGUUCUUCUGGAUGGCACAGUUCAUUGAUGCUUAAAGAAUGGUUGUCCAUAGUAUGGUCUCUGGAAGAAUUGAAGCUUUUGAACUGUGGUGUUGGAGAAGACUCUUGAGAGUCCCUUGGACUGCAAGGAGAUCCAACCAGUCCAUCCUAAAGGAGAUCAGUCCUGGGAUUUCUUUGAAAGGAAUGAUGC